Molecule: ribosomal RNA, 336 nt
Filed under: uncultured Lachnospiraceae bacterium
Lineage: Bacteria; Bacillati; Bacillota; Clostridia; Lachnospirales; Lachnospiraceae
Description: partial 16S ribosomal RNA
Source: RNAcentral
GGAGUUUGGGCCGUGUCUCAGUCCCAAUGUGGCCGUUCACCCUCUCAGGCCGGCUACUGAUCGUCGCCUUGGUGGGCCGUUACCUCACCAACUAGCUAAUCAGACGCGGGUCCAUCUUAUCCCGAUAAAUCUUUUCACACUGUUUCAUGCGAAACUGUGCGCUUAUGCGGUAUUAGCAGUAAUUUCCAACUGUUGUCCCCCUCUGAAAGGCAGGUUGCUCACGUGUUACUCACCCGUCCGCCACUAAGCUUGAAAAGCAAGCUCUCCAAGCUCCGUUCGACUUGCAUGUGUUAGGCGCGCCGCCAGCGUCGUCCUCGAGCCACUGAUCAAACUACU